UAAAACUUUGGGGGUUACAAAUUUUUUUUUAUAUUAAUACCUCUUUAAAAUCUUUAAAAAUCCAUUUAAAUUCCAACAGUCCCCUACAAGUUUCAAAACUUUAUAAAAUCAUAUACAAAUUUAUAUAUAUAAAAAUUCGGGCAACUUUAUACUAUGCAAUGGGUGCAGGUGUCUUUCGGACUUGAACCUACACUUAGUGUUGACAGUUCUAACCUGAAGGAUCAUAGUGAACUAAGUCUUGAACUAGACCCUUUGGACUAGAUUUUAACAUGCCACACAUAUAGUAUUGAUAUAGACUUGGUGCAGGUUAGCGCUAUUUAUGGGCAUGCGCUGAAUCUUGAUUCUCAUGAGAGUUAUUAGAGAACAGCCCAAUUCUCACAGUCGCAGCCUCACGACAACUCUCAUUUAGGUGAGUCCUCCAAAAAUACAUGCGACCUGUAUCCUGCAGGAGUAUGCCUGCCUCGGGCUCAUUCAGGGUAACACCCUUCCUUAACGUCACAUAUCAAAGCACUAUUGCCAUAGGGAUGAGCAGGAGACUCUCUCCUUAAAAGUAGUGCUGAAAUGAGUCACGCAAUAUGGAUUGUUUCUACCCAUUGAACCUUCUUCAUGGAAUCUCCAAUCACAAAGGUUGGGUUACCUUCAUAGGUGACUCCCUUAUGGGCUUAAGCCCAUCCCCCUCGACAAGUCAAUGACAACUCUCUUAGAAAGAGCUUUG
Molecule: long non-coding RNA, 715 nt
Filed under: Phoenix dactylifera (date palm)
Lineage: Eukaryota; Viridiplantae; Streptophyta; Magnoliopsida; Arecales; Arecaceae
Description: long non-coding RNA (PDAC_LNC009401)
Source: RNAcentral